CGUGUAGGCGGCCAGACAGGUCCGUUGUGAAAACUCGAGGCUCAACCUCGAGACGUCGACGGAAACCGUCUGGCUAGAGUCCGGAAGAGGAGUGUGGAAUUCCUGGUGUAGCGGUGAAAUGCGCAGAUAUCAGGAAGAACACCUAUGGCGAAGGCAGCACUCUGGGACGGUACUGACGCUGAGAGCGAAAGCGUGGGGAGCGAACGA
This 207-nucleotide ribosomal RNA is filed under the name uncultured bacterium. RNAcentral describes it as "partial 16S ribosomal RNA". It matches the Rfam family "Bacterial small subunit ribosomal RNA", at positions 568 to 775 of the family's 1533-position model. The record is from RNAcentral.